GUCUAUAGCCAUACCACCCUGAGAGUGCCUGAUCUCAGAAACUAAGCAGGGUCAAGCCUGGUUAGGACUUCCAUGGGAGAAACUCCUUUUGCUAAAAAGCACUGACU
RNAcentral lists this ribosomal RNA (107 nucleotides) under Castor canadensis (American beaver). The record is from RNAcentral. Lineage: Eukaryota; Metazoa; Chordata; Mammalia; Rodentia; Castoridae.